AGAGUUUUAAUGGAAGAAAAAGGGCAAUUUCAAGGUGCAGACUUGCACUGCACAUAUUUUGGUAUUUUGACCAUAACUCUCUCUACAGAGCUCCAAAUAAAGUGAUUCUUGAACUAUUGGAGCGAUAAGAGAAAAAUAUACAACUUUUAUGUUUACCACCUAGUUCAAUUCGGCUUGGAAGGAGGUCAAAAUUGUCAAAACUCUUGUCAAACUUGAUGUAUUGUAGCAGUCCUAGAACAAUUAUGAUUUUUGCCAUUUAAAUGGUCUAGGCCAUGACUUUGGACGUAGUAGGCUGCGGCCCACAUAGUCUGAUAAGGAAAUCCUGAUUGGAAUUGACUUCUUUCUUCACCCAACUUGGCCUAAAUUCAAAGCCCUAUAAAAACAACCUUUCGGAGGACUUUGGAGGAAAGAACGAAACACCAGAUUGAUAGCUGAGAGUCGAGCCACAAAGUCAUUGAAGCUAAAAAGAAUUUGAAGGAUUCAAGGAGAUUUGGAGAUUAAGCAUGCAAUCCUUGGUUUUUUCUAUCUUUUUGUUAUUCUCUUAUUCUCUUGGUUUUGUUUUUAAUGUUUAAACUUUAUUCAAUGAUGAUGUGUGACUUGAUGGGAAACUAAACUUUUUAUCUAAGAUUAUGAUUAAAC
RNAcentral lists this long non-coding RNA (639 nucleotides) under Theobroma cacao (cacao). RNAcentral describes it as "long non-coding RNA (TCAC_LNC002349)". The record is from RNAcentral. Lineage: Eukaryota; Viridiplantae; Streptophyta; Magnoliopsida; Malvales; Malvaceae.